UCAGUACUACAGGAUUCCCCUAGUAGCGGCGAGCGAAGCGGGAAGAGCUCAAAUUUAUAAUCUGGCACCUUCGGUGUCCGAGUUGUAAUCUCUAGAAAUGUUUUCCGCGUUGGACCGCACACAAGUCUGUUGGAAUACAGCGGCAUAGUGGUGAGACCCCCGUAUAUGGUGCGGACGCCCAGCGCUUUGUGAUACAUUUUCGAAGAGUCGAGUUGUUUGGGAAUGCAGCUCAAAUUGGGUGGUAAAUUCCAUCUAAAGCUAAAUAUUGGCGAGAGACCGAUAGCGAACAAGUACCGUGAGGGAAAGAUGAAAAGCACUUUGGAAAGAGAGUUAACAGUACGUGAAAUUGUUGGAAGGGAAACGCUUGAAGUCAGACUUGCUUGCCGAGCAAUCGGUUUGCAGGCCAGCAUCAGUUUUCCGGGAUGGAUAAUGGUAGAGAGAAGGUAGCAGUUUCGGCUGUGUUAUAGCUCUCUGCUGGAUACAUCUUGGGGGACUGAGGAACGCAGUGUGCCUUUGGCGGGGGUUUCGACCUCUUCACACUUAGGAUGCUGGUGGAAUGGCUUUAAACGACCCGUCUUGA
This 580-nucleotide ribosomal RNA is filed under the name Rhodotorula mucilaginosa. RNAcentral describes it as "LSU rRNA". It matches the Rfam family "Eukaryotic large subunit ribosomal RNA", at positions 56 to 657 of the family's 3401-position model. The record is from RNAcentral. Lineage: Eukaryota; Fungi; Basidiomycota; Microbotryomycetes; Sporidiobolales; Sporidiobolaceae.